This is a non-coding RNA of Macaca mulatta (Rhesus monkey), 171 nucleotides long. The record is from RefSeq and is a predicted model, not a curated record. NCBI's taxonomy places the organism in Eukaryota, Metazoa, Chordata, Mammalia, Primates, Cercopithecidae.
CUGGAUGCAGCUGCCACCGUCCCCUUGUCUUCCUUGACUUCUCACGUGAUUAAAUUUUAAUUCAAGUCUAUGACCAGGAUUCAGUGGGGACUUUGCUCAGAGCCCAGAGAUCCAGUUAAAAGAUAGAGGCUAAAUUUAAAACCACCUAUCUAAAUAAAAUUGGUCUUCUUA